CCUACGUGUGGCAGCAGUGGGGAAUAUUGCGCAAUGGGCGCAAGCCUGACGCAGCGACGCCGCGUGAGGGAUGAAGGUCUUCGGAUCGUAAACCUCUGUCAGCAGGGAAGAACGGUCACUGUGCUAAUCAGCAGUGAAUAGACGGUACCUGCAAAGGAAGCACCGGCUAACUCCGUGCCAGCAGCCGCGGUAAUACGGAGGGUGCGAGCGGUAAUCGGAAUUACUGGGCGUAAAGCGCUCGUAGGCGGUAUGUCAAGUCAAGGGUGAAAUCCCCGCGCUCAACGUGGGAACUGCCUUUGAAACUGGCAAACUUGAGUGUGUGAGAGGUAAGUGGAAUUCCAGGUGUAGGAGUGAAAUCCGUAGAUAUCUGGAAGAACAUCAGUGGCGAAGGCGACUAUCUGGCACAUAACUGACGCUGAGGAGCGAAAGCGUGGGUAGCAAACAGGAUUAGAUACCCCUGUAGUC
RNAcentral lists this ribosomal RNA (465 nucleotides) under uncultured bacterium. RNAcentral describes it as "partial 16S ribosomal RNA". It matches the Rfam family "Bacterial small subunit ribosomal RNA", at positions 338 to 795 of the family's 1533-position model. The record is from RNAcentral.